AACAAAGUGGCACUACUUCAGGGACAAUGGGAGUUGCAGCUGGACAGGAUGGCCAAGCAAGCUCUAAUUUGGAUUUCACAAUCGCGUUCAGGAGCAGAAACCCAACAGCCAUCUCAGAAAUGAGGAGGACAUCGCUUCUUCUUGGAUUAUCCUGCAGUAUUAGGAAUUGAUCACUGUACCUUUUAAUCUCAGCCCACAUUUCAGAAUUAAGAUUUCUUCAUGCCUACUUUCUUCAGAGCCCCUGGGACUCACCUGGACCUCUGAGACUCCAGCCUGAGUGAAGCUGAGGCAGAGUGGGACUGGCCUCCUUUUUCCUUCAGUCUUCCCAUGUGUCCCCAAACCACCAGCUCUGCUGCCUUCAGUAAAUACUGUGGCCUGCUGUCAUCACUGAAAAGCUCACUGCCU
This 405-nucleotide long non-coding RNA is filed under the name Zonotrichia albicollis (white-throated sparrow). Its description in RNAcentral is "lncRNA (ENSZALG00000008134.1)". The record is from RNAcentral. Lineage: Eukaryota; Metazoa; Chordata; Aves; Passeriformes; Passerellidae.